Molecule: ribosomal RNA, 492 nt
Filed under: uncultured bacterium
Lineage: Bacteria
Description: partial 16S ribosomal RNA
Rfam family: Bacterial small subunit ribosomal RNA
Source: RNAcentral
AGUGAACGCUGGCGGUAGGCCUAACACAUGCAAGUCGAACGGCAGCACAGUAAGAGCUUGCUCUUACGGGUGGCGAGUGGCGGACGGGUGAGGAAUACAUCGGAAUCUACUUUUUCGUGGGGGAUAACGUAGGGAAACUUACGCUAAUACCGCAUACGACCUACGGGUGAAAGCAGGGGAUCUUCGGACCUUGCGCGAUUGAAUGAGCGGAUGUCGGAUUAGCUAGUUGGCGGGGUAAAGGCCCACCAAGGCGACGAUCCGUAGCUGGUCUGAGAGAAUGGUCGGCCGCACUGGAAGUGAGACACGGUCCAGACUACUACGGGAGGCAGCAGUGGGGAAUAUUGGACAAUGGGGGCAAGCCUGAUCCAGCCAUACCGCGUGGGUGAAGGAGGCCUUCGGGUUGUAAAGCCCUUUUGUUGGGAAAGAAAAGCAGCAGGUUAAUACCCCGCUGUUCUGACGGUACCCAAAGAAUAAGCACCGGCUAACUUCGUG